RNAcentral lists this ribosomal RNA (430 nucleotides) under uncultured bacterium. RNAcentral's name for it is "bacterial SSU rRNA". It matches the Rfam family "Bacterial small subunit ribosomal RNA", at positions 355 to 776 of the family's 1533-position model. The record is from RNAcentral.
UCGAGGAUCAUUCGCAAUGCGCGAAAGCGUGACGAUGCGACGCCGCGUGCAGGAUGAAGGCCUUCGGGUCGUAAACUGCUGUCAUGAGGGAGCAAUGGUUGUGGCGCUAAUAACGCCGUGACGUGAUAGUACCUCAAGAGGAAGCCACGGCUAACUCUGUGCCAGCAGCCGCGGUAAUACAGAGGUGGCAAGCGUUGUUCGGAUUUACUGGGCGUAAAGGGUGCGUAGGCGGUCCUGCGUGUCGGGUGUGAAAGUUCACUGCUCAACGGUGGAAUUGCACUCGAAACUGCAUGACUAGAGUACAGGAGAGGAGAGCGGAAUUCUUGGUGUAGCAGUGAAAUGCGUAGAUAUCAAGAGGAACACCGGAGGCGAAGGCGGCUCUCUGGAAUGAUACUGACGCUGAGGCACGAAAGCUGGGGGAGCAAACAGG